AAUCUGAUGGUGUGGACAGCUUGAACAGAGAUUCUUGAACCUCUCCCAGUACUCAUAAAGGGUCUCCCCAGAUUGCUGCUUGAUGCCAGAAAUCUCCUUCCGUAUGGCU
Small nucleolar RNA from Vigna unguiculata (cowpea), 109 nucleotides. The record is from RefSeq and is a predicted model, not a curated record. Lineage: Eukaryota; Viridiplantae; Streptophyta; Magnoliopsida; Fabales; Fabaceae.